AAAUCGCCAAACAGAUGACGCUGUCGUCAUCUUGCAAAUACAAUUUAUACACAUAUAACCACAAAUCAUGAAAAAUUAUUACAAGUAUCUAUCAUCACUUUACAAAACAGAUGGGCAAUAAUGGCAUGAUAAAGCAAAUUAUAAAUGAUAAAAUUACAAUUCACCCCAUAAUUGAUGGCAGAAUGUAUUAAACAGAAAGAGAAAAGACUACAUCGUGGAUGGAAUCAAAACGAGGAUGCUGCGCGCCUACUUUCUCUUCGAUUUCCCCUUCGGCCGGCAAUGAACCACAGAGCAAUCGUUAUCAGACGAUCAAUCCAGUAACAGAAUGCUGCAGCCUGAAGAAGUGUAAGUACGCGAAAUCGCAAGUGGAGACGGAAUUUUGCAACACACAGAGAUUGCUCGACAGGAUUCGACACUUGAAGAAAAGUGUUCAGGAGCUAGAAUGUGCUCAGCAACAAAUUAGACCAAGAGUUACUGAGAGGAAAGAUGCUCCUUGUCAAACGCAAGAUUCAUUACGAUCGGAUGUAAAUGAUUUUCGAGAAAUCUUAGACAGUUGUAUCAAAGAAAUGACGAAGCUGAAAAGAUUUUUCGACGACGAAAAUUUCUGGUGGAAGAUAUUCAAGAAACGAAAUUUCAACUGUUGCGAACAGAAAUUACCACAUUUGCAUGGUUACUUAGAUGGAACUAUGGUUACUUUGAAGAUAUUGGAGGAAAAGAUCGAAGCGAAAGAUGGUUUCGCUACUUCAACACCGAUAAAAUCAGGUUCUUCGUCACAUUCGGCUAAACCACCCGCUCAGAAAAGAAAGUAUAGGGAGCAAGACGGAGAUGAGGUUGAGGGACGUCCUAGAAAAUAUGUAGAUGCGUCCGCGAAUACUGAAAAGAUUGACGACUCUUACCAAGAUAGAAAUCCCGUCAUUUGUAAUAAACAUCAAGACAAUCCAGGAAGUUUGAAAGCAAAGAAAGAGGAUGCAGAGGUCUAUCAAGAGCAACAUGAUUCAGGGGAACCACAAAAGUCAAAAGAUAAUCACGUGGUUGAUACUACAAUGAGAUUAUCUAGAAAUUGGUAUACUAAGAAUACCAUGGAUGUUGAAAAUAUGGAGAGACCAUCGGUUACAUUUAACAGCGAGAAUAUGGCGAAAAGAUCAAUUAUUGCUGCUGAUAUCAGCACAUCGAUGGAUAUACUACCGAACGCGCAACAUAGGACUAUAAGACCUUCGAUUAAAAACUUAAAGAACGUAAUGGAAAGAAACUUUUCAGUCAGAAGUUCCUUUACGAAAGAGCAGAAAGGAAAGAUUAAGAAACAACAAGGAAACCAUUAACGUCAAAGACGUAUAUGAAAGUCGACGUUCGCAUGUUUAAAUGGCGCCACCCUUUUAAAUCAGACGAACACUCGUUUUACUUUGAUGGACAAAUUUUAGUCUGUCGUUUUUUCCAUUUCUCCUUUAUCGCAACAUGCUGCUGUUUUUAACUACCCGUCUCAUUGGAUAAUUUGUGCCGCAAGCUUUUCGAAAGCCUCCGAAGCUUACGAAAAAUAUGGAGGAAAAUGCGAAUGAGGUUAAUGAAGGAUGAGGUUAGAGUAUCGAUGUUUCUUACGAAAUUUGAUACAUUCAACUAAUGGGGCAGUAUUAAUUAAUGAUAAAUAUAAAGCCAUAUUACCGAAAGCUCUUCCCGGUUAUUUUUUUGAGUAUUCAAUUAAUGUUUCACUGUAAUGUUUAAAGGAUCAUGACAGAGUCAUCAUAAUAGCAAGGUGCUCAGCUCCUUCGCACGAUGAAGACUUGAAAAUAGGCACCAAAACCAUGCUGAUCUUACGCGAAUGGGCGAUACUGCGAAUUCCCUAUUCGACUUCGAUUAGUUCCUGCGAAAGCACAUAUUCUGCUGAAGCUGAUAACCCCUAAAAAAAUUAAAAUAUUCAACGAUAUUGAAAAAAUCAAAGAUUAUAACAACUCACCAGAUUGAAAAUUCUAUAGACAUAUCGAUAUUAAAAUUCGUGAGAAAUCUUGAAACGCGUCAAAACUUCAUGGAGUGUCCAAGAUCAAUCUUGAAGUGAAAGAAACAAGAUUAACACUGUGGCAAAGGGAGAAAAUGGGAAGAUAUGCAUAAAGAAUCUGUGGUCGACAUCGGAACAGGGAAUAAAAAAGGGAUAUUGAAGAUGAAUAACAACGAGCACGAACCGGCUACAUUGAAUGAAAUAAAUAACUAUCAAUCGAUGCCUUCCGGUGCUCCCAAGAACAUAGAACAAUUGUCGAACGUAGAAUCAGUAGGGUGUUAUAUGGAUCGACGUCGUAAGAAUGUGAGAGAUUUUAGGACGAAAUUUAGGCCGCCGUUUUUCCGACGAGGGUGCUCGAAACAUUGUACAGGAUACAGAAAGGAUUUGGACACCUCUAGAUUUAGACUUCGAUAGCCCUAAUGGUAGUUCUAGUACUAAUUGUUAGGAAUUUAGAAAAGUUGUAAGCUGAACUAAGCGUUGCUUCAGUUUCGAAUUGACAGUGUGCAAAUCGGUAAAAAAGAAUAAUUUGGCGCACAGGAUAAAAAGAAGCAAGAGGAAGUUCCAGCAAUUUUCAAAUCAAGUAAAA
This is an RNA transcript of Bombus pascuorum, 2573 nucleotides long. RefSeq lists it as uncharacterized. Lineage: Eukaryota; Metazoa; Arthropoda; Insecta; Hymenoptera; Apidae. The record is from RefSeq and is a predicted model, not a curated record. The transcript is spliced from 8 exons.